CAGCAGCCGCCACGGGAAUACAGAGGGUGCGAGCGUUAAUCGGAUUUACUGGGCGUAAAGCGUGCGUAGGCGGCUAAUUGAGUCGGAUGUGAAAUCCCCGAGCUUAACUUGGGAAUUGCAUUCGAUACUGGUUAGCUAUAGUGUGGGAGAGGAUGGUAGAAUUCCAGGUGUAGCGGUGAAAUGCGUAGAGAUCUGGAGGAAUACCGAUGGCGAAGGCAGCCAUCUGGCCUAAUACUGACGCUGAGGUACGAAAGCAUGGGGAGCAAACAGGAUUAGAUACCCCAGUAGUCCCUGUCUCUUAUAC
Molecule: ribosomal RNA, 304 nt
Filed under: uncultured bacterium
Lineage: Bacteria
Description: partial 16S ribosomal RNA
Rfam family: Bacterial small subunit ribosomal RNA
Source: RNAcentral